CUUGCUUUUCUGAAUCUAGUGGCGAACGGGUGAGUAACACGUAGGUAACCUGCCCAUGUGCCCGGGAUAACUUCUGGAAACGGAUGCUAAAACCGGAUAGGUAGCAGACAAGCAUUUGACUGCUAUUAAAGUGGCCUUGGCCAUGAACAUGGAUGGACCUGCGGUGCAUUAGCUAGUUGGUGAGGUAACGGCCCACCAAGGCGAUGAUGCAUAGCCGGCCUGAGAGGGCGGACGGCCACAUUGGGACUGAGACACGGCCCAAACUCC
Molecule: ribosomal RNA, 267 nt
Filed under: uncultured Bacillota bacterium
Lineage: Bacteria; Bacillati; Bacillota
Description: uncultured Firmicutes bacterium partial 16S ribosomal RNA
Rfam family: Bacterial small subunit ribosomal RNA
Source: RNAcentral